Long non-coding RNA from Leopardus geoffroyi (Geoffroy's cat), 1595 nucleotides. RefSeq lists it as uncharacterized. The record is from RefSeq and is a predicted model, not a curated record. Lineage: Eukaryota; Metazoa; Chordata; Mammalia; Carnivora; Felidae. The transcript is spliced from 2 exons.
GGGGCUUGAUCCCACACCCCUGGGAUCAUGACCUGAGCUGAAAUCAAGCUUCAGAUGCUCAACCGAGUGAGACACUCACGCACCCCUGUGAUGGUCAAUUUUGUGUGCCAACUUGGUUAAGCCAUGGUGCCCAGAUUUUUGGAUCCAACACCAGUCUAGAUGUUGCCAUGAAAGUAUUUUUCAGGUGUGAUUAACAAGUAGAUCUGUAGGCUUUGAGUAAUGCAGAUUAUCCCCCACCGUGCCGGUAGGCCUCACCCAAUCAGUUGAAGAGACUGAAGAGAAGAGACUGACCACGGCCGCAGAAGAAAGAAGUCUACCUCCAGCCUGCUGCAGAUGUUGGGGUUGCCAAUGCCUCCAUAAUCAUGUGAGCCAAUUCCUUAAAAUACACCUCUCUCUUUCUGUGCACACACACACAAACACCACACCCUAUUUGUUCUGUUUCUCUGCAGAAUUUUGAUGAAUAAAUAGACCAGAUAAAUAGGCAAAAUAAAUUAUACAGUACAGCAGAUAGUGAUGAAUGCAAUGGAGAAAACCCAUAGCCUUCUAUUUUCUCCAUCACUGCGAUCAUCUGUAACUGUCUCGCUUGGUUUGCACGCAGCUGAGACUUUGCCAGCAGCACCUAGGCACGGCCUUCCAUGGGACCUGGGUGUCUCUUAGGGUGUCUGAUAGGAUGGGUUCAUAAAGGGAGUUUUCGAGGGCUGUGUUUGGACAGUGAGGCUUCAGAGAGAGCCAGGCAGAAGUGGCUUGGCCUGUUAUGACCUAAUUUCAAAAGCCACAGCGUAUCACCUCUGUCGUACUCCAGUGGUGGCAACCAUCUUGGACUCAGAUUCAAGAGGAGAGAGCACAGAUCUCUCAAUCAGAGAAGAUUUUAAAAAAUUGAUGAAAAAAAUAUGUGGCGUAUACACUAGAAUAUUAUUCAGCCAUAAAAAAGAAGGAAAUUCUGCCAUUUGGGGACAACAUGAUGGACCGGAUGAGCACUAUGCUAAGUGAAAUAAGUCAUACGGAGAAAGAAAAUGCUGUAUCUCACUUAUUGUGGAAUCAGAAAAAAAUCCAAAAGCGUUGAAACAUAGAGUACAUCGGUGGUUCCAGGGGUUGAGGGUUGGGAGAAGUGCGUGGUGAUGGUCAAAGCAUGCAAACUUCCAGUUAUAAGAGAACAAGUUCUGGGGACCUAAUGCACAGCGUGGUGACUCUAAUUAACAAUACUGUAUUGUAUACUUGAAAUUUGCUAAAAGAAUCCAUCUGAAGUGUCCUUGCCCCGCUUCCCCCCCACCCAGAGUAACUGUGUGAAAUAAUAGAUGCGCUAACUAGCCUUAUUGUGUUAAUUAUUUCACUAUUAUAUAUAUACCAAAUCACCACGUUGUACUUUAAACUUGCACAAAGGUCUAUUUCCAGUGUGUUUCAACAACACUGGAAAAAAAAUUUCAGGUGAUAAUGUUCACACUAUCUCACAUGCUCGGCACCUAACGUGGUUCCUAGUGCAUAGAAGAUACUCAAGAAAUGUUUGUUGAUUGCAUGCACAGAAAAGCCUAAGGCAAACAAAAUAAAUGUUACUUAUUCUACUCCCUAGAGAUAAUUGCUAUUAAAAUAUUUUCUCA